This 494-nucleotide ribosomal RNA is filed under the name uncultured bacterium. RNAcentral's name for it is "bacterial SSU rRNA". It matches the Rfam family "Bacterial small subunit ribosomal RNA", at positions 33 to 507 of the family's 1533-position model. The record is from RNAcentral.
CGGACGACGCUGGCGGCGUGGAUUAGGCAUGCAAGUCGGACGGUAGGGCUUUAUCGUAAGAUAGAGUUUGAGAGUGGCGAACGGGUGAGUAACACGUAGGAAUCUACCCUUAAGACGGGGACAACCCAGGGAAACUUGGGCUAAUACCGGAUGAGAGUGCGAGAGAUUGCAUUUAAAAGGAUGGCGAAAGUUGUCGCUUAGGGAUGAGCCUGCGGUCUAUUAGUUAGUUGGUGAGGUAAGAGCUCACCAAGGCGAUGAUAGAUAGGCGGCCUUAACGGGUGGUCGCCCACACUGGGAUUGAGAUACGGCCCAGACUCCUACGGGAGGCAGCAGUGAGGAAUAUUGCGCAAUGGGGGCAACCCUGACGCAGCAACGCCGCGUGAGUGAGGAAGGUUUUCGGACUGUAAAGCUCUGUCGAGCGGGAAGAAGUGUACCAUGGCUAAUAUCCAUGAUAUUUGACGGUACCGCUAGAGGAAGCACCGGCUAACUCCGUG